RNAcentral lists this ribosomal RNA (273 nucleotides) under uncultured Bacillota bacterium. RNAcentral describes it as "uncultured Firmicutes bacterium partial 16S ribosomal RNA". It matches the Rfam family "Bacterial small subunit ribosomal RNA", at positions 70 to 339 of the family's 1533-position model. The record is from RNAcentral. Lineage: Bacteria; Bacillati; Bacillota.
AAGUCUUCGGAUGCGAAGCCUAUCACUGAGCGGCGAACGGGUGAGUAACGCGUGGGCAACCUGCCCCCAGACUGGGAUAACAGCUCGAAAGGGCUGCUAAUACCGGAUACGCCUCAAGUUCCGCAUGGGAUUUGAGUGAAAGCGGUUAGCGCUGGGGGAUGGGCCCGCGUCCCAUUAGCUAGUUGGUGAGGUAACGGCUCACCAAGGCGACGAUGGGUAGCCGGCCUGAGAGGGUGGACGGCCACACUGGGACUGAGACACGGCCCAGACUCC